This 204-nucleotide small RNA is filed under the name Sinorhizobium meliloti 2011. RNAcentral describes it as "putative ncRNA". The record is from RNAcentral. Lineage: Bacteria; Pseudomonadati; Pseudomonadota; Alphaproteobacteria; Hyphomicrobiales; Rhizobiaceae.
GCAAGGGACGGAAACGCCCUGAACCAGAAGGAGAAGGCUAUGUCCGCUCUGACGUUGGCGAUCAAUAAUGGCGCCCCUCAUGAAAGACCGGCCCCGAGCGCCGCACCCACCGAUCGGGCGCCCAGGCAGACUCGAUCCAUCGAUGAGGGGGACAUCGUUCUGGCGAUGCUGUGGCAUGCCCGAUCUCUUAUUGAACUGAUUGCC